AUUGAACGCUGGCGGCAGGCCUAACACAUGCCAGUCGAGCGGAUGAAGGGAGCUUGCUCCUGGAUUCAGCGGCGGACGGGUGAGUAAUGCCUAGGAAUCUGCCUGGUAGUGGGGGAUAACGUCCGGAAACGGGCGCUAAUACCGCAUACGUCCCGAGGGAGAAAGUGGGGGAUCUUCGGACCUCACGCUAUCAGAUGAGCCUAGGUCGGAUUAGCUAGUUGGUGGGGUAAAGGCCUACCAAGGCGACGAUCCGUAACUGGUCUGAGAGGAUGAUCAGUCACACUGGAACUGAGACACGGUCCAGACUCCUACGGGAGGCAGCAGUGGGGAAUAUUGGACAAUGGGCGAAAGCCUGAUCCAGCCAUGCCGCGUGUGUGAAGAAGGUCUUCGGAUUGUAAAGCACUUCAAGUUGGGAGGAAGGGCAGUAAGUUAAUACCUUGCUGUUUUGACGUUACCAACAGAAUAAGCACCGGCUAACUUCGUG
RNAcentral lists this ribosomal RNA (484 nucleotides) under uncultured bacterium. RNAcentral describes it as "partial 16S ribosomal RNA". It matches the Rfam family "Bacterial small subunit ribosomal RNA", at positions 30 to 507 of the family's 1533-position model. The record is from RNAcentral.